GCCAGUGUGGUGCAGUGGUUUGGGUACUAGACUAUGACUCUGGAGACCAGGGUUCAAAUCCUCAUUCAGCCA
Non-coding RNA from Phrynosoma platyrhinos (Desert horned lizard), 72 nucleotides. The record is from the annotation of a GenBank genome assembly. NCBI's taxonomy places the organism in Eukaryota, Metazoa, Chordata, Lepidosauria, Squamata, Phrynosomatidae.